This 301-nucleotide ribosomal RNA is filed under the name uncultured bacterium. RNAcentral's name for it is "partial 16S ribosomal RNA". It matches the Rfam family "Bacterial small subunit ribosomal RNA", at positions 509 to 807 of the family's 1533-position model. The record is from RNAcentral.
CAGUCGCCGCGGUAAUACGGAGGGUGCAAGCGUUAAUCGGAAUUACUGGGCGUAAAGCGCACGCAGGCGGUCUGUCAAGUCGGAUGUGAAAUCCCCGGGCUCAACCUGGGAACUGCAUUCGAAACUGGCAGGCUAGAGUCUUGUAGAGGGGGGUAGAAUUCCAGGUGUAGCGGUGAAAUGCGUAGAGAUCUGGAGGAAUACCGGUGGCGAAGGCGGCCCCCUGGACAAAGACUGACGCUCAGGUGCGAAAGCGUGGGGAGCAAACAGGAUUAGAUACCCCGGUAGUCCCUGUCUCUUAUAC